This 2901-nucleotide ribosomal RNA is filed under the name Clostridium perfringens. Its description in RNAcentral is "23S ribosomal RNA". It matches the Rfam family "Bacterial large subunit ribosomal RNA". The record is from RNAcentral. Lineage: Bacteria; Bacillati; Bacillota; Clostridia; Eubacteriales; Clostridiaceae.
UCAAGCUACAAAGGGCGCAUGGUGAAUGCCUUGGCAUCAGGAGCCGAUGAAGGACGUGAUAAGCUGCGAUAAGCUUCGGGUAGGCGCACAUAGCCUGAGAUCCGAAGAUCUCCGAAUGAGGAAACUCACAUGGGAAACCCCAUGUAUCAUUAAGUGAAUACAUAGCUUAAUGAAGGUAACCCAGGGAACUGAAACAUCUAAGUACCUGGAGGAAGAGAAAGAAAAAUCGAUUUUCUUAGUAGCGGCGAGCGAAAGGGAAAGAGCCCAAACCGGAAACUUGUUUCCGGGGUUGUGGACAUAGCAUUAAAGUGGAGGCUAUUGUAACUGAAGAGAACUGGAAAGUUCCACCGUAGAAGGUAAUAGUCCUGUAAGUGAAACGAGAAGACCACGAGUUAUGAUCCAGAGUACCACGAGACACGUGAAACCUUGUGGGAAGCAGGGAGGACCACCUCCCAAGGCUAAAUACUACCUGAUGACCGAUAGUGAAGCAGUACCGUGAGGGAAAGGUGAAAAGAACCCCGGGAGGGGAGUGAAAUAGAACCUGAAACCGUGUGCCUACAACCGCUCAGAGCCCCUUAUGAGGGUGAUGAGGUGCUUUUUGUAGAACGAGCCAACGAGUUACGGUAUGUAGCAAGGUUAAGUACUUAAGGUACGGAGCCGAAGGGAAACCGAGUCUGAAUAGGGCGACUAGUUGCAUGCCGUAGACCCGAAACCGGGUGACCUAUCCAUGGCCAGGUUGAAGCGAGGGUAAAACCUCGUGGAGGACCGAACCACGUUGCUGUUGAAAAAGCAUGGGAUGAGCUGUGGAUAGCGGAGAAAUUCCAAUCGAACCCGGAGAUAGCUGGUUCUCUCCGAAAUAGCUUUAGGGCUAGCGUCGAGUAUGAGUAGUGGAGGUAGAGCACUGAAUGGGCUAGGGGGCAUAGCGCUUACCGAACCUUAUCAAACUCCGAAUGCCACAUACUUUGAGCUCGGCAGUCAGACUACGAAUGAUAAGAUCCGUGGUCAAAAGGGAAACAGCCCAGAUCGUCAGCUAAGGUCCCAAAGUGUAAGUUAAGUGGGAAAGGAUGUGAGAUUUCUAAGACAACUAGGAUGUUGGCUUAGAAGCAGCCAUUCAUUAAAAGAGUGCGUAAUAGCUCACUAGUCGAGAGAUCUUGCGCCGAAAAUGUAACGGGGCUAAACUUACCACCGAAGCUACGGGCUUGAACUUAGUUCAAGCGGUAGGAGAGCGUCGUAACCGGGCUGAAGUCGUACCGUAAGGAGCGGUGGACUGGUUACGAGUGAGAAUGUUGGCAUCAGUAGCGAGAUGUGGGUGAGAAUCCCACAGGCCGAAAACCUAAGGUUUCCUCAGGAAGGUUCGUCCGCUGAGGGUUAGUCGGGACCUAAGCCGAGGCCGAAAGGCGUAGGUGAUGGACAACUGGUUGAUAUUCCAGUACCACUACCAUCGUUAUUAUCGAUGGCGUGACGCAGGAGGAUAGUGUGUGCUAGCUAUUGGAUGCUAGUCUAAGCGUUUAGGCAGUGAGAGUAGGCAAAUCCGCUCUCAUAAUGCUGAGGCGUGAUGGGGAAGGUUCUACGGAACCGAAGUACAUGAUUCCACGCUGCCAAGAAAAGCGUCUAGAGAGAGAAGUAGUGCCCGUACCGCAAACCGACACAGGUAGGUGAGGAGAGAAUCCUAAGGCCGGCGGAAGAAUUACAGUUAAGGAACUCGGCAAAUUGACCCCGUAAGUUCGCGAGAAGGGGUGCCUACGAGAGUAGGCCGCAGAGAAUAGGCCCAAGCAACUGUUUAGCAAAAACACAGGUCUCUGCUAAAGCGUAAGCUGAUGUAUAGGGGCUGACGCCUGCCCGGUGCUGGAAGGUUAAGGGGAACACUUAGCGCAAGCGAAGGUGUGAACUUAAGCCCCAGUAAACGGCGGCCGUAACUAUAACGGUCCUAAGGUAGCGAAAUUCCUUGUCAGGUAAGUUCUGACCCGCACGAAUGGCGUAAUGACUUGGGCACUGUCUCAACUGUAAAUCCGGCGAAGUUGUAGUGCGAGUGAAGAUGCUCGCUACCCGCGAUUGGACGGAAAGACCCCGUAGAGCUUUACUGUAGCUUAGCAUUGAGUUUUGGUAUUGUCUGUACAGGAUAGGUGGGAGACUAGGAAACCAGGGCGUCAGCCUUGGUGGAGUCAACCUUGGGAUACCACCCUGACAGUACUGAAAUUCUAACUGGCGGCCAUGAAUCUGGUCACAGGACAUUGUUAGGUGGGCAGUUUGACUGGGGCGGUCGCCUCCUAAAAAGUAACGGAGGCGCCCAAAGGUUCCCUCAGAACGGUCGGAAAUCGUUCGAAGAGUGCAAAGGCAGAAGGGAGCCUGACUGCGACACCCACAAGUGGAGCAGGGACGAAAGUCGGGCUUAGUGAUCCGGUGGUACCUCGUGGGAGGGCCAUCGCUCAACGGAUAAAAGCUACCUCGGGGAUAACAGGCUGAUCUCCCCCAAGAGUCCACAUCGACGGGGAGGUUUGGCACCUCGAUGUCGGCUCGUCGCAUCCUGGGGCUGAAGUAGGUCCCAAGGGUUGGGCUGUUCGCCCAUUAAAGCGGCACGCGAGCUGGGUUCAGAACGUCGUGAGACAGUUCGGUCCCUAUCCGUCGCGGGCGUAGGAAAUUUGAGAGGAGCUGUCCUUAGUACGAGAGGACCGGGAUGGACUGACCUCUGGUGUACCAGUUGUUCCGCCAGGAGCACAGCUGGGUAGCUAAGUCGGGAAUGGAUAAACGCUGAAAGCAUCUAAGCGUGAAGCCAACCUCAAGAUGAGAUUUCCCAUAGCGUAAGCUAGUAAGAUCCCUUGAAGAACACAAGGUUGAUAGGUCGGGGGUGUAAGCAUGGUAACAUGUUCAGCUGACCGAUACUAAUAGAUCGAGGGCUUGACC